This 991-nucleotide long non-coding RNA is filed under the name Hordeum vulgare. RNAcentral describes it as "long non-coding RNA (HVUL_LNC016954)". Lineage: Eukaryota; Viridiplantae; Streptophyta; Magnoliopsida; Poales; Poaceae. The record is from RNAcentral.
UCAGUAUGAGUCAUGCCUGUUUCAACUCAUCUUCUAUCCAGCGAGACGGUAUUCACAUCAUAGUAACUUAGCAAAUUAACAGGGCAUAUAAUAUCUAGCAAUAGUCAAUAUACCAUCAACUUACAAUCUAUAACAUAAUAAACAUCAUCACAUGACAGGGAACUUCCAUUUUGUUCCAACAUGAAGUAAAGCUUCUUCUAACUUUAUAGUCGGAGCUGAUCUACAAGGACGUCCACACCACCAUUGGAUUUGUCCUUAGAAUCUGAUGGUCAUCAACGCACCUUGUACUCUUAAUGUACAUGCAACUACAUUACAAGAUGAAAUACAUUAGAAGGCACAUCAAACAUGAUCAUUUAGAAUAAAAACUGUUUAAAUUUUGGAGUGCACAAUACACAAUUUCACUCUACCAAAAUGAUAGGAUUUAUUUAUGUCAUGUCAACAUAAACAAUUUUCAAAAUUGAUACUGACAGCACUUCGUGGACACUUAAUUUUAUCUAGUUAAGCAAUUGCUGCAAACAAUUGAGAAGUAAACAUGCGAAAACAAAUAGUAUGUUUCCGUAAUACCACACACGGCCUAACAUGGCCUUUCCCGCAGGAACAUCCACAAUAGAUCCACUGCGCUUAGGAUUUAUUUAUUAAUAACAUUUAUGAAAUAAAUUUAUAACUUAUUCAACAUUUUUUAUAUGAAGAAAAUACUAUGUGCAGUGUCACAUACAAAUUCAGAGUAUAUUUUUAAGUAAGUCUGAUUUAUGAACAGGAUUGGUAUAGUAUAUCCUGGUAUAGUAUAUCCAUAUAUGCGUUGUGAUAUAUCCAUAUAUGCGUUGUGAUUGCAAGCAUGGUUAUUUUUGCUGAAAUAAUUUAAUCCACGUACCUAUACCUAGAUGUACGCAACACACAGAAGCGAGGUAUGCAGAUGUAUAUUGCCAGCUAAGUCAUACGUGCAUCCGUGAUUCUUUGAAGCUAUCAUCAUACAUUUAUUGUUAGCUGGGUC